GUCGGUACAGGUACUGUAUAUUGUGCGUAAGCGCGCGCAGGUGGUUUCUUAAGUCUGAUGUGAAAGCCCUGGGCUUACCGGGGAAGGGCAUUGGAAACUGGGAGACUUGAGUGCGGAAGAGGAAAGUGGAAUUCCAUGUGUAGCGGUGAAAUGCGUAGAUAUAUGGGAGGAACACCAGUGGCGAAGGCGACUUUCUGGUCUGUAACUGACACUGAGGCGCGAAAGCGUGGGGAGCAAACAGGAUUAGAUACCCCCCGUAGUCCCA
This 265-nucleotide ribosomal RNA is filed under the name Bacillus cereus. RNAcentral describes it as "partial 16S ribosomal RNA". It matches the Rfam family "Bacterial small subunit ribosomal RNA", at positions 552 to 797 of the family's 1533-position model. Lineage: Bacteria; Bacillati; Bacillota; Bacilli; Caryophanales; Bacillaceae. The record is from RNAcentral.